This 738-nucleotide ribosomal RNA is filed under the name uncultured bacterium. Its description in RNAcentral is "bacterial SSU rRNA". It matches the Rfam family "Bacterial small subunit ribosomal RNA", at positions 56 to 804 of the family's 1533-position model. The record is from RNAcentral.
UGCAAGUCGAACGGGGUAGCAAUACCCAGUGGCGCACGGGUGCGUAACGCGUAGGCAACCUGCCCUGAAGUGGGGAAUAACCACCGGAAACGGUGGCUAAUACCGCAUAUUGAGCUGGAGGGACAUCCUUCCGGUUUGAAAGCUAUAUGCGCUUCAGGAUGGGCCUGCGUUGGAUUAGGUAGUUGGUAGGGUAACGGCCUACCAAGCCGACGAUCCAUAGCUGGUCUGAGAGGAUGAUCAGCCACACUGGCACUGAGACACGGGCCAGACUCCUACGGGAGGCAGCAGUGAGGAAUCUUGCGCAAUGGAGGAAACUCUGACGCAGCCACGCCGCGUGAAGGAUGACACCCCUAUGGGGCGUAAACUUCUUUUCUGCGGGAAGAACGCCGGUCUUGGACCGGGAUGACGGUACCGCAGGAAUAAGCACCGGCUAACUCCGUGCCAGCAGCCGCGGUAAUACGGAGGGUGCAAGCGUUGUCCGGAUUUAUUGGGUGUAAAGGGUGUGUAGGCGGACCCGUAAGUCAGAGGUGAAAGUCGGCGGCUUAACCGUUGGAUUGCCUUUGAUACUGCGGGUCUUGAAUCCUGGAGGGGCCACUAGAAUUCGUGGUGUAGCGGUGAAAUGCGUAGAUAUCACGAGGAAUACCAGAGGCGUAGGCGAGUGGCUGGACAGGAAUUGACGCUGAGGCACGAAAGCGUGGGGAGCGAACAGGAUUAGAUACCCUGGUAGUCCACGCCGUA